This 441-nucleotide ribosomal RNA is filed under the name uncultured bacterium. RNAcentral's name for it is "partial 16S ribosomal RNA". It matches the Rfam family "Bacterial small subunit ribosomal RNA", at positions 339 to 795 of the family's 1533-position model. The record is from RNAcentral.
CUACGGGCUGCUGCAGUCAAGAAUCUUCCGCAAUGCGCGAAAGCGUGACGGAGCGAUGCCGCGUGCCGGAUGAAGGCCUUCGGGUUGUAAACGGCUUUUAUUAGGGACGAACAAAUGACGGUACCUAAUGAAUAAGGGGUUGCUAACUCUGUGCCAGCAGCAGCGGUAAUACAGAGACCUCAAACGUUGUCCGGAUUUAUUGGGCGUAAAGGGUUCGUAGGCGGUUUUGUUAGUCAUAUGUUAAAUCUUCGGGCUUAACCCGGAGGCUGCGUGUGAUACUGCAAAACUAGAGGAUGGAAGAGGUGCACGGAAUUGCCGGUGUAGCGGUUAAAUGCGUUAAUAUCGGCAAGAACACCAAAAGCGAAGGCAGUGCACUGGUACAUUCCUGACGCUGAGGAACGAAAGCGUGGGUAGCGAAUGGGAUUAGAUACCCCAGUAGUC